AAAUAAAGGUCGAGCUUCUUGAAGGUGGAACCUUUUGGUUGUCCGAGUCUCCCUCUGUUCCUGGAAGCAUUUCAUGGGGUUCUGAAGUUCCUUGCAUUGCAACAUGGGCUAUAUCCUUAUGAUUUAGAAAUGAAAUUACAGAUUCAAUCAAUUGUAUUCAAACUUUGUUUCACUUUUGUUGCACAAUCUUUGGAUCACUUGGUUCCUUGACAUCAUGUCCACACAUUUCAACUGAAAGGAGUUGAGCCUCCUGGAUUCUCAUUCCAGAUAGUAAAUACAAACAUGGACGAGUUUAGUCCUCGUGCCCGCCGGCGAAGUGCUUUGCUUACAUGGCAGCACAUUGCAUCCUUACCCCCUAGCCUAC
Molecule: long non-coding RNA, 364 nt
Filed under: Vigna radiata
Lineage: Eukaryota; Viridiplantae; Streptophyta; Magnoliopsida; Fabales; Fabaceae
Description: long non-coding RNA (VRAD_LNC007462)
Source: RNAcentral